GAUGAACGCUAGCGGCAGGCUUAACACAUGCAAGUCGAGGGGUAGAAGCAGCUUGCUGCUUUGAGACCGGCGCACGGGUGCGUAACGCGUAUGCAAUCUACCUUUUACAGAGGGAUAGCCCAGAGAAAUUUGGAUUAAUACCUCAUAGUAUGUGAGAAUCGCAUGGUUUUCACAUUAAAGUUCCAACGGUAAAGAUGAGCAUGCGUCCCAUUAGCUAGAUGGUAAGGUAACGGCUUACCAUGGCGACGAUGGGUAGGGGGUCCUGAGAGGGAGAUCCCCCACACUGGUACUGAGACACGGACCAGACUCCUACGGGAGGCAGCAGUGAGGAAUA
RNAcentral lists this ribosomal RNA (334 nucleotides) under uncultured bacterium. RNAcentral's name for it is "bacterial SSU rRNA". It matches the Rfam family "Bacterial small subunit ribosomal RNA", at positions 28 to 363 of the family's 1533-position model. The record is from RNAcentral.